This 901-nucleotide ribosomal RNA is filed under the name uncultured Syndiniales. Its description in RNAcentral is "SSU rRNA". It matches the Rfam family "Eukaryotic small subunit ribosomal RNA", at positions 612 to 1538 of the family's 1831-position model. Lineage: Eukaryota; Dinophyceae; Syndiniales. The record is from RNAcentral.
GUUGCGGUAAAAAAGCUCGUAGUUGGAUUUCUGUCGAGGACGACCGGUCCAUACAAUGUAUGUGCAUCUGGUUCGGCUUCGGCAUCCUCUCGAAAGACGUUUCUGUGCUUGAUUGCAUGGAGCGGAUCUCGGGACUUUUACUUUGAGGAAAUUAGAGUGUUCACGGCAGGCUCGCGCCAGAAUACAUUAGCAUGGAAUAAUACUAUAGGAUUUCGGUUCUAUUUUGUUGGUUUCUAGAAUUGAAAUAAUGAUUAAUAGGGACAAUUGGGGGCAUUCGUAUCAAGGCGUCAGAGGUGGAAUUCUUGGAUUGCCUUGCGACGAACUACUGCGAAAGCAUUUGCCAAGGAUGUUUUCAUUGAUCAAGAACGAAAGUAAGGGGAUCGAAGGCGAUUAGGUACCGUCUUUUUCUUUAUCACAAACUAUGCCGACUAGAGAUGGGAAGUCGUUCUUUUUAGACUUUUUCCGCACCUUAUGAGAUAUCAAAGUUUUUGGGUUCCGGGGGGAGUAUGAGCGCAAGCUUGGAACUUAAAGGAAUUGACGGAAGGGCACCACCAGGAGUGGAACCUGCGGCUUAAUUUGACUCAACACGGGGAAACUCACCAGGUCCAGACAUAAUAAGGAUUGACAGAUUGAUAGCUCUUUCGUGAUUUUAUGGGUGGUGGUGCAUGGCCGUUCUUAGUUCGUGGAGUGAUUUGUCUGCUUAAUUGCGUUAACGAACGAGACCUUAACCUGCUAAAUAGUAGAGUCUAUUUCCGGAUAAACUCCUUGCUUCUUAGAGGGACUUUAUGUGUUUCAAUAUGAGGAAGUUUGAGGCUAAAACAGGUCUGUGAUGCCCUUCGAUGUUCUGGGCUGCACGCGCGUUACACUGAUGCGUUCAACGAGUGUACAACCUUGUCCGAUA